This is a long non-coding RNA of Monodelphis domestica (gray short-tailed opossum), 1593 nucleotides long. The record is from Ensembl. Lineage: Eukaryota; Metazoa; Chordata; Mammalia; Didelphimorphia; Didelphidae.
CUCAGCAGGGGGCAUCUACCUCCCUUGCCUCUCCAAGCAAUAUACCCUCUCUCGCUUUAACUCCUCCUUACCCCUAUACAAACCUCCCUUAUUAUUCCACAUUUAUCCCCUGUUUUCCAAUUCCCAUAUAAAUAUUACACUGUAAAACUUUGAAUACAAGGAAAUCUGAAAAGACCUUACAAGGGGAUGCAAACUCUGUGAAUGGGCAAAUCACUUAACUGAUUGCCUAACUCUUGCCAUUCUUUUGACUUAGAAAUGAUACUAAGCCCAAAAGGUAAGGGUUAAAAGGAGAAGAAAGAAGAAGAAAGAAGGAAGAAGGAAGGAGGAAGAAGAAUAAGAUGACAAAGAAGGAGGAAGAGGAUCUACAGGAGGAGGAAGAUGAGGAUAAAAAUAAGAAAUGACAAAGAAUUUUCAAAAAGACUAAGUAGGACAGACUGAAGGAGUGUUAUAAUACUUCAGGUAUUGAGAACAAGUAAUUCAUACAUAAAAAGGAAUUAGGAAGACUAGCUGUUCAUAUUUAUAUUCAAUUUUUAAAAGGACUAGGUAACCCCCACCACUACCUUCCCAAGACUUCUGCAGACCACCCAGGAGACCCCCGGGGAGAAGAGAGAGCCCUGGUGUAAUUUAGGAGUGCAGCCAACAUCCCGUGAGCCUGGAAGUGUCAGGGACAGAGUCCAGAGUGGCAUUCACCCAACCGUUAUGUUCCGCCUGGCAGGCAGCGAGAUGUCAGCUAUCCAAGAAUGUGUCAUUAUAAGCUUGUUAAAAAUCAAAUCAAGCUACCUAUCUAUCUGCAAGUGACAAGCAUUUGGCAUAAGACUGAUCUUUUCAGGAUAGAAGAAGAAAAAAUAAGAGAGUUUGCUUAGAUGACAUCCCGCUUCCCUUCCAGGUAUGAGUCUCUGAUCCUAAGCUUCUUCUGCAUUUUGCCCUAUUGUGACAAGAAAAGAGUACUGGUGGCUCCUUUAAACACUAGAUCGACAGAAGCCAAUUUCUCUGAAGCUAGAACAGGACUUGAUAUUUAAGUGAUGCCUUCCAAAUAACACUCCAACUGAUUCCAAGGAUGCAUCAAAAACAUAAAGAACAGCAAAUGCUCUCAGGCAUAGUUAACCUUGGCCUCUUUGGGGGACAAUGGUAUAUGGCUGGUCUGGUAAAUUUACCAGUCAGUGAAUCUGAAGAGAAUAUUCAUUAAAAGACAGAAAUUGUUUAGUUAGUUUGCAGCCACAAUCAAACACUUCUAAAAAUAGAUGUGAAAACGAUGCUAAUUCUAACUACAUUUGUCAUCAUUGGAACUGCUACAAUACACCUAGAAAGAAUUGAAAAUUUAUUCACAAUUAUAAAGCACUGUAAUUUCCAUUUACUUCUAAAGAAAAAGGCCCUAAUUAUUUUUUAGGCCUUUUAAACUCAUCUCUUAGCAUCCACCUGACAUUUUCCAUCCCUACAGCUUCACAGUUUCUCUCUGUGUCACUGUGGUUUGACAUACAAUAGUAUUGUCUUGAACACAUCAAGAUGAGGUAUUGGAUGUCAUCUCUACCCUCUUUACAAUAUGUUCCUAAUUCAUAGAAUAAACUUAGUCUCUAAGAUGUAUGUAAAAAUGUA